UACCAGGUGGCUCAGUGGUAAAGAAUCUGCCUGCCAAGCGGGAGACAUGGGUUUGAUCCCUGGCCUGGGAA
Molecule: transfer RNA, 71 nt
Filed under: Capra hircus (goat)
Lineage: Eukaryota; Metazoa; Chordata; Mammalia; Artiodactyla; Bovidae
Also listed under: 1 other name
Rfam family: tRNA
About the family: Transfer RNA (tRNA) molecules are approximately 80 nucleotides in length.
Source: Rfam by way of RNAcentral